Molecule: ribosomal RNA, 468 nt
Filed under: uncultured bacterium
Lineage: Bacteria
Description: partial 16S ribosomal RNA
Rfam family: Bacterial small subunit ribosomal RNA
Source: RNAcentral
GACGAACGCUGGCGGCGUGCUUAACACAUGCAAGUCGAACGGAAAGGCCCUGCUUUUGUGGGGUGCUCGAGUGGCGAACGGGUGAGUAACACGUGAGUAACCUGCCCUUGACUUUGGGAUAACUUCAGGAAACUGGGGCUAAUACCGGAUAGGAGCUCCUGCUGCAUGGUGGGGGUUGGAAAGUUUCGGCGGUUGGGGAUGGACUCGCGGCUUAUCAGCUUGUUGGUGGGGUAGUGGCUUACCAAGGCUUUGACGGGUAGCCGGCCUGAGAGGGUGACCGGCCACAUUGGGACUGAGAGACGGCCCAGACUCCUACGGGAGGCAGCAGUGGAGAGUAUUGCACAAUGGGCGGGAGCCUGAUGCAGCAACGCCGCGUGCGGGAUGACGGCCUUCGGGUUGUAAACCGCUUUCGACUGUGACGAAGCGUGAGUGACGGUAAUGGGUAAAGAAGCACCGGCUAACUACGUG